ACUUUAUAGCUUGCUAUGAUAAAAAUUAGUGGCAGACGGGUGAGUAAUGCAUAGGAAUCUACCUAAGUAGUAUGGGAUAGCCACUAGAAAUGGUGGGUAAUACUGUAUAAUCCCUGCGGGGGAAAGAUUUAUCGCUAUUAGAUGAGCCUAUGUUAGAUUAGCUAGUUGGUAGGGUAAAGGCCUACCAAGGCGGUGAUCUAUAGCUGGUCUGAGAGGAUGAUCAGCCACACUGGAACUGAGAUACGGUCCAGACUCCUACGGGAGGCAGCAGUGGGGAAUAUUGGACAAUGGGCGCAAGCCUGAUCCAGCUAUGCCGCGUGAGUGAGGAAGGCCUUAGGGUUGUAAAACUCUUUCAGUGGGGAAGAUAAUGACGGUACCCACAGAAGAAGUCCCGGCAAACUCCGUGCCAGCAGCCGCGGUAAUACGGAGGGGGCAUGCGUUGUUCGGGAUUAUUGGGCGUUGAGGGCAUGUUGGCGGUUCGGUAAGUUAAAGGUGAAAUGCCAGGGCUUAACCCUGGAGCUGCUUUA
This 527-nucleotide ribosomal RNA is filed under the name Anaplasma platys. Its description in RNAcentral is "bacterial SSU rRNA". It matches the Rfam family "Bacterial small subunit ribosomal RNA", at positions 70 to 628 of the family's 1533-position model. Lineage: Bacteria; Pseudomonadati; Pseudomonadota; Alphaproteobacteria; Rickettsiales; Anaplasmataceae. The record is from RNAcentral.